UGGGGAAUCUUGCGCAAUGGGCGAAAGCCUGACGCAGCGACGCCGCGUGAGUGAUGAAGGCCCUCGGGUUGUAAAGCUCUGUGGAGGGGGACGAAUAAGCGCUGGUCAAUAUCCAGCGUGAUGACGGUACCCCUUUAGCAAGCACCGGCUAACUCUGUGCCAGCAGCCGCGGUAAUACAGAGGGUGCAAACGUUGUUCGGAUUUACUGGGCGUAAAGCGCGUGUAGGCUGCUUCGCAAGUCGGAUGUGAAAGCCCUGGGCUCAACCCAGGAAGUGCAUUCGAAACUGCAGAGCUGGAGUCCUGGAGAGGAAGGCGGAAUUCUCGGUGUAGAGGUGAAAUUCGUAGAUAUCGAGAGGAACACCGGUGGCGAAGGCGGCCUUCUGGACAGUGACUGACGCUGAGACGCGAAAGCGUGGGGAGCAAACA
Molecule: ribosomal RNA, 426 nt
Filed under: uncultured Aetherobacter sp.
Lineage: Bacteria; Pseudomonadati; Myxococcota; Polyangiales; Polyangiaceae
Description: bacterial SSU rRNA
Rfam family: Bacterial small subunit ribosomal RNA
Source: RNAcentral